RNAcentral lists this ribosomal RNA (306 nucleotides) under uncultured eukaryote. RNAcentral's name for it is "partial 18S ribosomal RNA". It matches the Rfam family "Eukaryotic small subunit ribosomal RNA", at positions 1470 to 1796 of the family's 1831-position model. The record is from RNAcentral.
CCCUUAGAUGUUCUGGGCCGCACGCGCGCUACACUGAUGCAUUCAACGAGUCUAAAACCUGCUCUGAUAGGGGUGGGUAAUCUUUUGAAUGUGCAUCGUGAUUGGGAUAGAUGAUUGCAAUUUUUCAUCUUCAACGAGGAAUGCCUAGUAAACGCAAGUCAUCAGCUUGCAUUGAUUACGUCCCUGCCCUUUGUACACACCGCCCGUCGCACCUACCGAUUGAAUGGUCCGGUGAAAUCUCCAGACGUGGUUUUACCAUGAAAGCUGAUUGAAUCUUAUCAUUUAGAGGAAGGUGAAGUCGUAACA